Molecule: long non-coding RNA, 333 nt
Filed under: Pan troglodytes (chimpanzee)
Lineage: Eukaryota; Metazoa; Chordata; Mammalia; Primates; Hominidae
Description: long non-coding RNA NONPTRT002067
Source: RNAcentral
GGUCAAAACUGGGUUGAAUAUAUUCCCCUCGUCUGUGGUUUUCAAAUCUCUGCAGCCACGAAUUUCCUCCUUGAACCACACACGAUGCCACCACAAUUGCAGGCUGUAUUAAUGAAGAAAUGCUCCAGUUGCAUUCUCUCUUAAGUCAUUCUUUUUUUUUUUUUUUUUUUUUUGACACGGAGUCUCGCACUGUCACCAGAGCUGGAGUGCAGCGGUGCGAUCUCGGCUCACUGCAACCUCCGCCUCCCAGGUUCAAGUGAUUCUCCUGCCUCAGCCUCCCGAGCAGCUGGGAUUACAGGCGCCCGCCACCACGCCCAGCUAAUUUUUUGUAUU